GGGGAAGUCAGCACGUGCCCUGAAGAGACCCGAGGAUCCUUCAGGCUUCUGCACCCGGGAAACAUCACCAUCACGUCAGCGGAGCCUCAGAAGUACAACUCCUAACAAAAUCGCGUGGUCCAAAUGUUUUGAGAUGCCUACAGGACAGAUACGAUUGAACUUAACCAGGGGCUCUAGACUGGUGGACCCAGCCUUCCAGGUGUUCAACUCGGAGGCCAAAGCCAGGGAGAACCCUCAGGACCAAGGGCUAAGAGGACAGCCAAAAUUUUGACCUUUGCCCUCCAAGGACACCACCUGGCACGAGAUCCGCCUCAGCACUUCCAGACCACCAAGUUCCAUUCCUCCAUUUAGUGAGCGAGGAAAGAAAUGGCUUCUCACUCUUGCUUUUUCUUUCCCUCAACUGCAAGGGUAGAAAAUCAGUUGCUACCAAACAUCCCAGGGAUGACAGGUAUGUCAAGGACAUCGUGUAGGAUGAUGCUCCCUUGACGGGACAGAAAAUCCAAAUGAGUAGCUUAAACAAAAACAUGGAAGGUUUAAGUGUUUGUUUUUAGGUUUUGUGCGGGGGGGGGGGGGGGUUGUUUUGGGGUUUGUUCUUGUUAUUUUCAUGACAUUGGGGAGUGAGCCCAGGAGCGCUCUACCACGGAGCCACACCCCCAGCCUUUUUAUCUUUUGAGACAAGCUCUCACUAAGUUGCCCAGGCUGGCCUUGAACUUACUGUCCUCCUGCCUCAGCCUCCCAAGUCACUGGGGAUACCAGUGGGCACUGGCGUGCCCAGCAUGGGUCAACGUUUCUGAUGACCUCGAUGAAUGGGAUCUGUAUAGCUGUCCCCUUUUGCCCUGUGACCUGGCUCUGGACAGCCUGGUGAUGGCCUUCAGCCAGUAAACGCAGUCAAAGCCAAGGAGCCCCUGCACCGAGGCCUGGGGAGGCUCUGCGCUGUGCUCUCUCCCUUAAUGACUGUUUGCUUGUGCUGCACCUUGGCCUUGCCGUGAGACCAUGCCCAGGCAGCAUGCUGGGAGCCGGGGAGGAGAACCAACACAGCCCCACUGCAGAAGCCUGAGAGAGCCCCGUGAGAGCAGAACUGCCCUGCUGCCCCCUGCCUGGAUUCCCCGCCUGAAGAAUGAGCCAGACGGGGGGUUUGUUGUUUAAGCCUCUGGCUUUGGUGCAGUUUGAUAUGCAGUAAUUCGUAACUGAGGCUUUACUGAUAUCAGAAAUAAAUGCUUGCAUUUUUUUCUCAAAAGA
This is a non-coding RNA of Marmota flaviventris (yellow-bellied marmot), 1239 nucleotides long. Lineage: Eukaryota; Metazoa; Chordata; Mammalia; Rodentia; Sciuridae. The record is from RefSeq and is a predicted model, not a curated record.